This 238-nucleotide ribosomal RNA is filed under the name uncultured Glomeraceae. RNAcentral describes it as "partial 18S ribosomal RNA". It matches the Rfam family "Eukaryotic small subunit ribosomal RNA", at positions 546 to 787 of the family's 1831-position model. The record is from RNAcentral. Lineage: Eukaryota; Fungi; Glomeromycota; Glomeromycetes; Glomerales; Glomeraceae.
UUUUGGAGGGCAAGUCUGGUGCCAGCAGCCGCGGUAAUUCCAGCUCCAAUAGCGUAUAUUAAAGUUGUUGCAGUUAAAAAGCUCGUAGUUGAAUUUCGGGAUCAAUAUGUCGGUCGUGCCUUGGUACGUACUGGCUUCAUUGGUUUCCACCUUCUGAAGAACCUCGAUGUCAUUAAUUUGGUGUCUUGGGGAAUCAGGACUGUUACUUUGAAAAAAUUAGAGUGUUUAAAGCAGGCCA